Molecule: ribosomal RNA, 325 nt
Filed under: uncultured eukaryote
Lineage: Eukaryota
Description: partial 18S ribosomal RNA
Rfam family: Eukaryotic small subunit ribosomal RNA
Source: RNAcentral
CCCUUAGAUGUUCUGGGCCGCACGCGCGCUACACUGAUGCAUUCAACGAGCCUAUCCUUGACCGACAGGUCCGGGUAAUCUUUGAAUCUGCAUCGUGACGGGGAUAGAUUAUUGCAAUUAUUAAUCUUCAACGAGGAAUGCCUAGUAGGCGCAAGUCAUCAGCUUGCGUCGAUUACGUCCCUGCCCUUUGUACACAUCGCCCGUCGCUCCUACCGAUUGGGUGUGCUGGUGAAAUGUUCGGAUCGGCCGUUUGUCGCGGUUUCCGCGUCAUGUGGCUGAGAAGUUCAUUAAACCCUCCCACCUAGAGGAAGGAGAAGUCGUAACA